Long non-coding RNA from Cyprinus carpio (common carp), 3904 nucleotides. NCBI's taxonomy places the organism in Eukaryota, Metazoa, Chordata, Actinopteri, Cypriniformes, Cyprinidae. The record is from Ensembl.
GUCCAGUUUAGCCAGAUGUGCUAAAAUACCACAUUCAAAUUAAGUCAUUGUGAUUUAUUUUGAUGUAAACACGCCUUCUUUGUGUACUUACUCUCAUUACAAAGUGCACCUUAUUCACAAAAUAAAACCUGGUGCAAUUACCAUUGAGCUAUUGCUACAUUUUUCCCAAUAAUAACACAAAAAUGAUCAAAUGAAGGAUAAGAAUAACCAGGCAAAUUGUGUUCAUUCUUAGUAACUUCCUAGGGUAUCAGGGUGAUCCUGAAUGCUUAGAAUUUGCAGCAUAGCUUAGCAAAACACAGCAACUUUGUAGGUGGAACAGAUUUCACAGUUGUACUGUAACUACUACAGUUUAUCAUAUAGUUUCAUAUAGUGCUAAAUGAACUGCCAUUUUCCUUCAUACACAUCGGUAAGGUCAGCUAUCCUCUUAAUUUUAUUCACACAUCUCUUUGAAGGUAGAGCAGUGUCCUUAGUACUUUCCAUAUGAAAGGCCCUUAAUUGAAACUAGCAUUCAUCUCAAGUAUUCAUCUGAGCCAAAGCAUAAAGCCUCAUCCUAUUCUCUUUCAGGCCACUGCUAAGCAACAACCUACAGAGGAUUUUUUUUUUUUUUUUUUUUUUUUUUUUUUACUGCUUGAAGGGUUGCGGUGAGAGAGGCUUGCAUAAUGAUGCUUUGAGGGGGUCUGUUUUCCUUUCGAUGAAGGUUUAGGGGAUAGAGGUGAAAAGCUAUGUUUAUCUCACUGUGAUCCUCAGACUUUUCAUUUCUUCUGGGACUGAGAGUGUCAGAAGGGCUUUUGGUGAUCGUUGGGGAAUUGGGAGGAAGUAGAGAUGGACAUGGCAAAGCAUGCGGAUAACCGACAUUCCAGGCAAGAAAACACCAUCGGUUAUGUACAAAGGUUCCUGUGUUGCUCCUGCUUCCAGACGGGUGAGAAUGACUGCUUGGAGUACAAUCAGGAAAAGCCACAGAAUCCCAAGGCUGUUGUGGAUGAAGAGAACGUCCUUAUCGUUGUUGAAGAUUUGGGAAUAGACAACCCUGGAUUUAGCCUUUCUGAAGUUGAGCACUGCGGUCCACCUCAACAGAUCACCAUGGGCCGUUCUGCUAGUUCUGUGUCUAUGUGCCAAAGAGCAGCUCUGAAGAAGAAGCUCGCACCACUUUCCUCUUUACCGCUUCAGUCUAGAGCGAUCCAGAACAGUGAGGACGACUCUACUGUUGACUCUCUCCUGUACGGUUCUGGCAGCACUAAUGUUGGAGAUGGUAGUCUUCUCACUCCACCAGUCAUUAACCUCAUACCUCCGACACCUUCCGACGUAAUAGAUGAUGAUCAGUUCUUUGACAUAAACUCAGAAGAAGACAGUCUGCAGCAAACGUCAGGCAGCGAAGGAGUAGACAGUAUUGGCAGUGCUGCUAUGGGAGAGCAAGAGAGUGAGGAAGAUGUAGACCAAGACUUGGAGUCUGAAGGUAAUCAUAAGACCAAAGAUGAAGAACAUCCACAGGUGGAGCCUCCAGAGGAAGAAAUGGCCAAGAAGAAGAGCAUAGACAAGUCUACAAUCCACUUCCUGCGUAGCACCUUUCAUGUACCCCCUCUUCCUGAAUACCCACGAAAAAGGAGCCUCAAUACUGGAAUCAGUUUGCUGCAGUUCACUGAACAUAAUCUAGAUGACCUGAGCAACAAGGAUGCCUGCAGCCAUGAGUUGCUAAAGGAAGAGUUGAGGCUACUACCGCUGAGCAGUAAGAUAAGCAUGUUAACACACCAAAAGAAACCUGCCACUAGGUCCUGUAGUUUGGGCGAUACGGCGCAACAAAGUCAUACCUUUCACUCCACAUGUCAAGAAAGAGAUGAAAUCCUUGAAGAUGAGGAAUCCCCACGCCAAAGGAGGAUAACUGUUGCAUCAUACAUUCCGCAGUCCAAAGACCAUACUGGAAAAAGUGUAGUGAAGUCGAAUUCUAAUGGGUAUAGAGCCAAAUCUUUAGCAGAGCUGAACACAGAGGAGGUUUGCCAGUGGUUUAGUAAUAUUGGUCUACAGAAAUGCCUGCCCUUCAUUAGAGAGGCAGAGUUCAGUGGGUCCCACAUCGCUUCUAUUGAUCUCAACACCCUCGAAAUCCUUCAAGUGUCCAAUCUGGAGGAAAGAGAGAGGCUGCUGUCUGCCAUUUACCAUGAGUUACACCCGCCAAACUCCACCACCCAAAGACUCGACUCCCUCCUUGAAAGAUUUGGUCCACACAAUGUUGAGAAAUUCACAGCAGCUUUGGUUUCCAUGACCAAGUCAAAAUCUUCUCCUCAAGUUAGCAGCAUCAACAUGAACCAAUGUUCAUUCAAAUUCAGACAGAAAGAACAAAAUGCAAAAAUUCAGAAGAACUCGCAUCUCAUUGAAAUCACAGUCAAUGUGUCAGAUCGAACAGUUCAUUUAAGGACCCCCAAAGAGACAAGUGUGGGAAAAGUGGUGGAGUCCUGUCUGAGGAUGCUGGGAAUUAAUGAAGACAAAGAUCACUUCAACCUAAAAAGCAGUGAAGAUGAGUUCUCCCCUGAGCAGCAGAUUGGAGAUUUGCCUGGCUCAGAGACGAGACUAAUGGAGCUUCACUUAUAUAGGAAGGAAACACAGAAAGUGGGUCCUUAUUCAUCAGAUAACAACAUUAUUAGUACCACUGACAAUAUUCCGUGCAAAAAUCUGCUAAACAACACUGGGAAGAUUCAAAAGCUAAAUCAACAGGUGGCCUCCCUUCAAAACGUCAUCAUACAGGUUCAGGAGCUUUACCAUGGUCUGGUAGCCUUCUGUUCAGAGCUGAAGAAGAUGGAGGGGGAGAUGGAUGCAGUGCAAACAGACAGCUUUGAAGUGAAGAGGCUUCUCAGUGAGGCCCAGGACAAUCUGCAAAGGAAAAGACAGAGUCUUCAAACGCUCAGGGACAAUCUUAACACUGCACCAGUGCAGAAGAAUAAGCCAUCAGAGGUCCGACUUCUGGAGAAGAUGAGGCUAAACUGCCAGGUGUUUAAAGACGAGAUCACACUAGUCCACCUCAAUCGACAGGUGGCUCACCUGCGUGAAGUUCUGGAGAAGACACAGGCCAAGGAGAAAGCCAAGAGGAAGAGCCCUACUCUGACUCAGCUGGUCUCUUUGCAGUCUCCUGUCAUGCUGGUGGCCACCCAAGUGAAAGCAGACCCAGACGGUCAUUACGGUUUCUCUGCGCACUGGGUAGAGGGCCAGGGCCUGAUGGUGGUACAUAGUGAGGGUGCUAAUCUCUGCCUGAAUGACAGGCUGGUGGAGGUUAACGGAGUGGACGUCUUGGGGAGCAGUGAGGAUGAGUUGGAGCUGAUGCUUAAGACACACACUGCCCACAUUGUUGUUCUUCGCCAGCUGGCCCAAGAACUUCCACAGGAAGACCCAUCUGCCCCCACUUCAGACAGAUUUCUGCUCUGAGGGAUCAACAGGACAUACAAAUGCUGCAGAAACAUCAAGCAAUGUAAACCAACUAAACACUGUCCAGAUUAAUACUUUCUUUCCUGUCUUACUGGAGGAACACACUCAGACACACCUGAAUUGGUCAUAUCUUAUGUUUUAUCCCACUUAUUACUAUAAUGACAUUUGUCUUGUAAGAGAAGAGGAUUAUAUGUUCACCCUGCAUUACAGUCUCUGGGUCAUUUCAGGGCAGUUUCAUUUUUGGGUGUUUUUGGGUUUAUACAAAUGUAAUAGCCAUAGUCUCAAUUAAUGGGUGGGUCAGUCAAAAACUGCUCAUAAAAAUGGCAAUUUUUGGCAAAAUGGGCAUUUUGAAUUCUAAAUUGCAUUGAACCAUGAAGGUCAAGUUGGCAAAAUAACUUUCACUUUGUACACUUUUUUAAAAAGCAGCUGUGGUGAAAUAGGAGGCAAGGAAACUUCCUGUAAGACUGACAUUAAUAAAAAUACAGAUAUCAAAGCA